This 473-nucleotide ribosomal RNA is filed under the name uncultured bacterium. Its description in RNAcentral is "SSU rRNA". It matches the Rfam family "Bacterial small subunit ribosomal RNA", at positions 26 to 518 of the family's 1533-position model. The record is from RNAcentral.
AGGACGAACGCUGGCGGCGCGCCUAACACAUGCAAGUCGAGCGAGAACCGGGGCUUCGGUCCCGGGGACAGCGGCGAACGGGUGCGUAACACGUGAGCAACCUGCCCCGAAGACCGGGACAACCCGAGGAAACUCGGACUAAUACCGGAUGUCCUCACCGGAUCGCAUGGUCUGGUGAGGAAAUGGAUUCCGCUUCGGGAUGGGCUCGCGGUCUAUCAGCUUGUUGGUGGGGUAACGCCUACCAAGGCGACGACGGAUAGCUGGUCUGAGAGGACGAUCAGCCACACUGGGACUGAGACACGGCCCAGACUCCUACGGGAGGCAGCAGUGGGGAAUCUUGCGCAAUGGGGGAAACCCUGACGCAGCGACGCCGCGUGCGGGAUGAAGGCCUUCGGGUUGUAAACCGCUUUCAGCAGGGACGAAAUUGACGGUACCUGCAGAAGAAGGCCCGGCAACUACGUGCCAGCAGCCGC